Molecule: ribosomal RNA, 253 nt
Filed under: uncultured bacterium
Lineage: Bacteria
Description: partial 16S ribosomal RNA
Rfam family: Bacterial small subunit ribosomal RNA
Source: RNAcentral
UACGAAGGGGGCUAGCGUUGCUCGGAAUCACUGGGCGUAAAGCGCACGUAGGCGGCUUUUUAAGUCAGGGGUGAAAUCCCAGAGCUCAACUCUGGAACUGCCUUUGAUACUGGAUGUCUGGAGUAUGGAAGAGGUGAGUGGAAUUCCGAGUGUAGAGGUGAAAUUCGUAGAUAUUCGGAGGAACACCAGUGGCGAAGGCGGCUCACUGGUCCAUUACUGACGCUGAGGUGCGAAAGCGUGGGGAGCAAACAGG